GGGCCCGCACAAGCGGUGGAGCAUGUGGUUUAAUUCGAUGCAACGCGAAGAACCUUACCAGGACUUGACAUACUACGAAUUCUUUUGAGAAAAAGAAGUGCCUUCGGGAAUGUAGAUACAGGUGGUGCAUGGCUGUCGUCAGCUCGUGUCGUGAGAUGUUGGGUUAAGUCCCGCAACGAGCGCAACCCUUAUUUUUAGUUACUAAUUCGUUAGGUUCUCUAGAAAGACUGCCGGUGACAAACCGGAGGAAGGUGAGGAUGACGUCAAGUCAGCAUGCCCCUUAUGUCCUGGGCUACACACGUGCUACAAUGGUUAAGACAAAGAGUCGCGAGCUUGUGAAAGUCAGCUAAUCUCAUAAACUUAGCCUAAGUUCAGAUUGUAGGCUGCAACUCGCCUACAUGAAGUUGGAAUCGCUAGUAAUCGC
This 424-nucleotide ribosomal RNA is filed under the name uncultured bacterium. RNAcentral describes it as "bacterial SSU rRNA". It matches the Rfam family "Bacterial small subunit ribosomal RNA", at positions 917 to 1345 of the family's 1533-position model. The record is from RNAcentral.